GGAGAUAAUGAAUGGGAAAACUAAAUGUCAGAAUGCGCGUGUAUGGAGACGGGAGGAAAAUGAUACAAAACAACACUGUAAUUCCUAAAGCUUCGUAUUUUAUUUGGGAGUAGCAAGUUGGUUGGCAUUUUUAAUCCUCAUCAGGGGUUAGAUGAGAUGAGCUAUAACCGUUUCUGAGAAAGUGGCAGUUUUUUAUUUUAGAAAAACAGAAUUCUGAUAUUUUUCAUUUGAUUUUUACAUGCUAUAUUUCUUUAAAGAGUUUUGCAGUGUGUCUACGCCUAGUCUCGUCCCGGUUUGUCCUUCAAGGAUCAGCCGGAUGUUUUUAUCCGUGUAUGAAGCCAUCACAUCUUCAGAAAUGGCUUGAUUGUAGGCAGGGACAGGACAGGACUUGAGAGAGACAGCGGGAUGGUUGGGCAGUCACAGCUGUUUAAGGAGAAGCCAAAGAUGUUUGUCUGAUUGUUUGGUGUGUGCAAUUUGUGUCUGGAAGUUUCUGGAAUGUCUCAGGAGUGGAGUGAUCCUCUCCUCCUUAACACUUUCAGGAAGACUGAUGCUUGUUGACUUUCCCCAUUAUUCUCAGGAUACAACACAGAUGUAUCAUGUGACUCUGAUGUCAUCAAUAAGGGCCUUCACUAGGUCCAGAGAAUGUUUGUAAUCUGGGGUGGAGCUAAAGCAGAAGCGCUCCCACCACACUGAACUCUCAUGUAGAGAGAAGAGUAGGGCUAUCUGACACAGAGCCGAGCUUCGGAGAUUUCAGGCAGUAAUAAAAGUGUUAAUUGUGGAGGUGAAGAUGAAAUGAAAUCCAGACUGAGAAUAUUGUUAAUUCUCACCACUGUUCUACGGAGGGCCUUGGUUUUAAAUGUGCAGUUAUUCGACCCCUGGUCAGCCUUGUUUCUCAUCAGUACACCACUACACUAAUGCCAAAUAACCAGUCAGCACUGGUCCCACAGCAGCUUAUUGUGAGCCGGGCAACUCCACACAUCAGAGCGACUUCAUUUUCAGUUUCUUUUAGUGAUGUCAGCAGUUUUCCCUUACCCUUCAUCUGGUGUCAAUGGUCCAGUUGCUGCAUGUGAGGGUGUUGACCUGAAACAAAAUGAAAAGAAAAAAAAACUCUGCUCAGCAAAGCUCAAUCAUUCUCAUUUAUGCAGCCAUGCAGGCUCGUCUCUAUAAACAGCAAAAAAAACAAACAAAAAAAAAAAAAAAUAACAGAUCGUGUG
This is a long non-coding RNA of Cyprinus carpio carpio, 1214 nucleotides long. NCBI's taxonomy places the organism in Eukaryota, Metazoa, Chordata, Actinopteri, Cypriniformes, Cyprinidae. The record is from Ensembl.